This 498-nucleotide ribosomal RNA is filed under the name uncultured bacterium. RNAcentral's name for it is "partial 16S ribosomal RNA". It matches the Rfam family "Bacterial small subunit ribosomal RNA", at positions 28 to 523 of the family's 1533-position model. The record is from RNAcentral.
GAUGAACGCUAGCUACAGGCUUAACACAUGCAAGUCGAGGGGUAGCAGGGUAGCAAUACCGCUGACGACCGGCGCACGGGUGAGUAACACGUAUCCAACCUUCCCAUAACUCUGGGAUAGCCUUUCGAAAGAAAGAUUAAUACCGGAUGGUACUUUUUCAAGGCAUCUUGAGAAAGUUAAAGAUUUAUUGGUCAUGGGUGGGGAUGCGUUCCAUUAGAUAGUUGGUGAGGUAACGGCUCACCAAGUCUUCGAUGGAUAGGGGUUCUGAGAGGAAGGUCCCCCACAUUGGUACUGAGACACGGACCAAACUCCUACGGGAGGCAGCAGUGAGGAAUAUUGGUCAAUGGGCGAGAGCCUGAACCAGCCAAGUAGCGUGAAGGAUGAAGGUCCUAUGGAUUGUAAACUUCUUUUAUAGUAGAAUAAAGUGAUCCACGUGUGGAUUUUUGUAUGUAUACUAUGAAUAAGGAUCGGCUAACUCCGUGCCAGCCGCCGCCGUAA